This 463-nucleotide ribosomal RNA is filed under the name uncultured bacterium. RNAcentral describes it as "partial 16S ribosomal RNA". It matches the Rfam family "Bacterial small subunit ribosomal RNA", at positions 28 to 507 of the family's 1533-position model. The record is from RNAcentral.
GAUGAACGCUGACAGAAUGCUUAACACAUGCAAGUCUUUGGCGAAGCUGUGCUUGCACAGCCUAGCCAAGGCGGACGGGUGAGUAACGCGUAAGGAACUUGCCCUGCAGUCAGGGAUAACAGACGGAAACGACUGAUAAGACCUGGUAAAGUCAGGCGGACUCAUGUCCAGCCUGAUGAAAAGAGAUGCUGCAGGAGAGCCUUGCGUCCUAUUAGCUUGUUGGUGGGGUAACGGCCCACCAAGGCGAUGAUAGGUAGCCGGCCUGAGAGGGUGGACGGCCACAAGGGGACUGAGAUACGGCCCUUACUCCUACGGGAGGAAGCAGUGGGGAAUAUUGGACAAAGGGGGCAACCCUGAUCCAGCAAUUCUGUGUGCAAGAUGAAGGUUUUCGGAUUGUAAAGUGCUUUCAGCAGGGAAGAAAAAAAUGACGGUACCUGCAGAAGAAGCGACGGCUAAAUACGUG